Molecule: ribosomal RNA, 301 nt
Filed under: uncultured bacterium
Lineage: Bacteria
Description: partial 16S ribosomal RNA
Rfam family: Bacterial small subunit ribosomal RNA
Source: RNAcentral
CAGCAGCCGCGGUAAUGCGUAGGUGGCAAGCGUUGUCCGGAAUUAUUGGGCGUAAAGGGCUCGCAGGCGGUUUCUUAAGUCUGAUGUGAAAGCCCCCGGCCCAACCGGGGAGGGUCAUUGGAAACUGGGAAACUUGAGUGCAGAAGAGGAGAGUGGAAUUCCACGUGUAGCGGUGAAAUGCGUAGAGAUGUGGAGGAACACCAGUGGCGAAGGCGACUCUCUGGUCUGUAACUGACGCUGAGGAGCGAAAGCGUGGGGAGCGAACAGGAUUAGAUACCCCUGUAGUCCCUGUCUCUUAUAC